Ribosomal RNA from Rattus norvegicus (Norway rat), 119 nucleotides. The record is from Ensembl. NCBI's taxonomy places the organism in Eukaryota, Metazoa, Chordata, Mammalia, Rodentia, Muridae.
GUCUACCACCAUACCACGCUGAACGCGCCAGAUCUCUUCUGAUCUCGGAAGCUAAGCAGGGUCAGACCUGGUUAGUACUUGGAUGGGAGACCUCCUGGGAAUACCAGUUGCUGCAGGCU